Molecule: non-coding RNA, 90 nt
Organism: Leminorella grimontii
Lineage: Bacteria; Pseudomonadati; Pseudomonadota; Gammaproteobacteria; Enterobacterales; Budviciaceae
Source: Rfam
CCCAGAGGUAUUUAUUGGUGAAUAUCCGGCGGCGACGUCGGAACCAUUUACUGGAUUACACCGACCUACGCGGAUGCGUAGGUUUUUUUU